This 486-nucleotide ribosomal RNA is filed under the name uncultured bacterium. RNAcentral describes it as "bacterial SSU rRNA". It matches the Rfam family "Bacterial small subunit ribosomal RNA", at positions 28 to 524 of the family's 1533-position model. The record is from RNAcentral.
GACGAACGCUGGCGGCGUGCUUAACACAUGCAAGUCAAGGGGGCCCAGCAAUGGGCAACCGGCGAACGGGUGCGUAACACGUGAGCAACCUACCGAAAUGUGGGGGAUAGCCGGCCUAACGGCCGAGUAAUACCGCAUGCGCUCUCGAUGAGGCAUUUCAUUGAGAGGAAACCUACGGGACAUUUCGAGGGGCUCGCGGCCUAUCAGCUAGUUGGAGAGGUAACGGCUCACCAAGGCAACGACGGGUAGCUGGUCUGAGAGGAUGGCCAGCCACAUUGGGACUGAGAUACGGCCCAGACUCCUACGGGAGGCAGCAGUGGGGAAUCUUGCGCAAUGGCCUAACGGCUGACGCAGCGACGCCGCGUGUAGGAUGAAGCUCUUCGGAGUGUAAACUACUGUUGCCCGGGACGAACAGCUCGAUUAAUCGAGCCUGACGGUACCGGGUGAGGAAGCACCGGCUAACUCCGUGCCAGCAGCCGCUGUAAG